This 1057-nucleotide ribosomal RNA is filed under the name uncultured fungus. RNAcentral describes it as "eukaryotic LSU rRNA". The stretch from base 475 to 1057 matches the Rfam family "Eukaryotic large subunit ribosomal RNA", at positions 1 to 594 of the family's 3401-position model. Lineage: Eukaryota; Fungi. The record is from RNAcentral.
AGGGAUCAUUAUAGAGUUUUCUAAACUCCCAACCCAUGUGAACUUACCUUUUGUUGCCUCGGCAGAAGUUAUAGGUCUUCUUAUAGCUGCUGCCGGUGGACCAUUAAACUCUUGUUAUUUUAUGUAAUCUGAGCGUCUUAUUUUAAUAAGUCAAAACUUUCAACAACGGAUCUCUUGGUUCUGGCAUCGAUGAAGAACGCAGCGAAAUGCGAUAAGUAAUGUGAAUUGCAGAAUUCAGUGAAUCAUCGAAUCUUUGAACGCACAUUGCGCCCAUUAGUAUUCUAGUGGGCAUGCCUGUUCGAGCGUCAUUUCAACCCUUAAGCCUAGCUUAGUGUUGGGAAUCUACUUCUCUUAGGAGUUGUAGUUCCUGAAAUACAACGGCGGAUUUGUAGUAUCCUCUGAGCGUAGUAAUUUUUUUCUCGCUUUUGUUAGGUGCUAUAACUCCCAGCCGCUAAACCCCCAAUUUUUUGUGGUUGACCUCGGAUCAGGUAGGAAUACCCGCUGAACUUAAGCAUAUCAAUAAGCGGAGGAAAAGAAACCAACAGGGAUUGCCUUAGUAACGGCGAGUGAAGCGGCAACAGCUCAAAUUUGAAAUCUGGCCCUUGGGUCCGAAUUGUAAUUUGUAGAGGAUGAUUAUGGUGCGGUAUCUUCCGAGUUCCUUGGAACAGGACGCCUUAGAGGGUGAGAGCCCCGUACGGUUGAAUGCCUAGCCUCUGUAAAUCUCCCUCGACGAGUCGAGUAGUUUGGGAAUGCUGCUCUAAAUGGGAGGUAAAUUUCUUCUAAAGCUAAAUAUUGGCCAGAGACCGAUAGCGCACAAGUAGAGUGAUCGAAAGAUGAAAAGCACUUUGAAAAGAGGGUUAAAUAGCACGUGAAAUUGUUGAAAGGGAAGGAUUUGUGACCAGACUUUUUCUGGGCGGAUCAUCCGGGGUUCUCUCCGGUGCACUUCGCCCAGUAAAGGCCAGCAUCGGUUUUCGGCGUGGGAUAAAAGCAGUAGGAAUGUGGCUCUCUACGGGGAGUGUUAUAGCCUAUUGUAUAAUACCGCGCUGGGGACCGAGGU